Cyanistes caeruleus (blue tit) is the source of this 672-nucleotide long non-coding RNA. RefSeq lists it as uncharacterized. Lineage: Eukaryota; Metazoa; Chordata; Aves; Passeriformes; Paridae. The record is from RefSeq and is a predicted model, not a curated record.
UGGAGAGCCAGAGACCAUGUGGCUGAUCAAGAGAAGAAACUGGGGGGUGGCAUGGGCUGCAGGCUUGAGGAGAAUUUAAGAGCAAGGCCUAAGGAUGUUACCAAGCUCAGACUGUGCCCAUGGCUGGGCUCAGUGUUGCACACAUCAUCCCUGUGGGUUCCUGAUGUACCUGACGUGCAGGUGUUUCUCUAGCUCAGCCCCACAGCCCCCAGCCCUCAGUCUCUGCACCGGAGGGAGGGUCAGGUCCCCUCAGCAGGGCUCCCUCAGGCAGCCAGGGCAGUUCGUGGCCUCCCCUCCUCUCCCCCAGUGCCCCACCAUGGCCUGCCAGGGUGCCAGUGUUGUGGGAGGACAGUCUCCAUUCCUGGGGGGUUUGGAAGCAGCUGAUGACCCCCUCCUGGAGAGGAGCUCAGGAUUCCGCAGGUGACAAGUAUCUCCCACCAAGAUUCUCCAAAAACCCAUGAGAAGCUUCUGGCUAGUCCUGUUUUGGCUACAGUCCCCCAGUUUAUACAGUACAGAGGUGAAUUCACAUCCAGGAGGAGGGACUGGUAUGACUCCUUACAGUCACUUCCAACUGAAACAUUGUGUGCAGCCUUCAGAUGCCUGGGCUCACAACCACUCCUAAGUCCAUGCUAUGUCAUCAAAAGUCAACCAAAUCUCUUCUAUACCUCGCAA